Molecule: small RNA, 1808 nt
Filed under: Rattus norvegicus (Norway rat)
Lineage: Eukaryota; Metazoa; Chordata; Mammalia; Rodentia; Muridae
Description: uncharacterized LOC108348589
Source: RNAcentral
UUAACAUUGAGAGAAUUUAUAGAGUAGAUGACAUGGUUUUCAGGUGGCUAAAAUCUAAACAUAAUCUAGGGAUAGAAUCGUAACUCUUUUAGUUAGGAAUGAUUUAAUCGGCAAAUUUAAUAGACUAGAUGUCGUGUGUAUGUCAUAUUGUGUAAUUUGCAUGAUUGUUAUGGCUUUGUUCAAUAUAUAUCUUGGAGAAGAGGUUUUGUUUUGUUUUUAUGGAUAGAAAAGGUGAGGUGUAUGGGGAGGUUCUGAUGCAAAGGUCCUGUUCCCCAAUUGGUUCUUGGUUUGUCAGUAAAGAAGGCUGGGAGCCAAUUGCUGGGGAGACAGUACAGGCGGGACUUCCGGGUCCCAGAGGGAAAAGGAGAGGCAGGGAAGGAGAGUUUUACCACACUUGGGAACGAGAAGAACACAGCAACCAUAUAAGGCCUGAGGUGGAGGGGUAGCUAGGACCUGUGGCCUUUGUUACAGAUGGCUGGCCCAGUAUGUUUGGCAGGGGCUAGGUGGGACUAGCCACUAAGUUUAGAGCAGGUGAGGAGAUGGAGAUAACAAAUUUUUCAGGCAGGAGAUAGUAACACCCAGCAAUUGUGCUCAGGAGGCAGGUUGUAAAGUAACAAACUGUGUAUGUGUGUCUUCUAUCCUUGGAUUCAAGGGUCUAGGGAGUGGGCUGAUAGCACAGUCACCUCCCAGAGACAAAGGUGGGAAGAACCAAAGGAAAUCGGUGAGGGACACAGGCAAAGGUGGUAGCAUUUAAAACUACACGCAACAUAGGUCAGUCACUCUGAUGUCAGGAAUGGAUAUACUCAACCCAUAGCUGACACAGAGUUGCCCCUCACAGAGAGGUGCACAGGGCUGGAAGAAGUACAUGUCCUGUACGGAUAGGCCCCACAUCACACACUAAAAGAUCAUCAUCCCUUCUAUGGAACCUAGGACCUCAAUUCCCAGGAACAAGCAAAUCAUCCCUGAAGUGGAUUAGCCAAGAAACAGGCUGACUGCUGGGCCACCAUGCUGGCUCCCUCUGGACUUCCAUUUCGGGCAUGCUUCCACACGGCCACGUGAUGAGCAGGAGCCCAGGAUUUAGCAGAUACAAAGGACUGGAGCACCUGGAAUCACCUGAUUUAAACUCUGUGGCCUUUGAAGCUAACCUAAGACUGACAGGGGCCCAGGCAAAGGCAAACAUCCUUGAUUGGGACCCAAUGGCAUUUGACUGGCACUUGAGCUGUGUGUGAGACCUGAAGAGCUUUAAAGAACUGAACUGAAAGAUGCCCUAGGGGUCUCCUUGUCAAGCACAUCUUCAUGUAAGUGGGAAACAGAAAGACAAAGAUUGGAAAAAAAAUCAUCCAGGAUCAUGGGGUUUGCUUGUGGCACACCAGGGACCAGGACUAUGGAGUCCUUUGGGCUCCAAGACCCUCUUUCAGUGGCUGAGGUGCAGGGAGGCACCAUGAGAAAUUUGGAGAUUUUGGCUGCUGAUGAGGCAGGACUAGAUAAUGUCUGGCCACCCACUGAUCCCAGACAGUAUUUAAACAGAAGUCUCCAAUGCUCCAGUGCACACUGACUUGGGCUUCUGUAUGGGAUGCAGCGUGAAAGAUUUAUGGGAUCACCGAUGCUGGAAAAUUGCUUCAAAGGGCCGUGCCUCUGGAGACUGAGAAGCUUACUUAAUGCUUUCCCAGACUGAGGUCUUUGUACUGGGUGGCAGGCUUGAAAAUCUAGCUCUUUUAAUGGCACCAAACAUGCUGACAGAUACUGAAGGACUAAAAGAUCUGAAAUGAGAGCGGGUAGGGCAUGCCGUAAACUCACAGGAAGUGUGU